UCAACCAGUGAGAUGGUUUUCUCCUCACAGUCCAGACCGGCUUUGGAAAAGGGAUGUGUGUUUUUAUAACUGCAAACCACUUACUCAUCUGAGUCCUUUUUGCUCUCCUCAAUGUAGGCGAUGGACUCCGAACGAAGCCGGUUGGUGACCUCAUAGGUACGCAGGGUGACACCAAAGAUGUCCUCAUGAUAGCGGUUCUCAUCCUGGAUUCAGGUGAAAGACAAAACGGGAGGAAAAUUGUCUCCCGUGCUAUACACCACUCUACACCCUACCCCUCAGACUGCCACCAUUCCACUACGCCUCUUCAGUCUGCCUGCCUGCCUCCUGCCAUCAUCAGCCAUGCUCGCCUAGCCUCACCUGUGUUCAGGAAUGAUUUUGGAUUUUCUCCAUCUACUAUUGCACUAUAAAAUGAUUCACUGACAGUGCUGAUUCAGUCCAUUUGUAUUCUACCCAGCUUCAAAACCUUGCCUGUUUAACUGGGGGAUGAUUGCAUUGCUCAAUGGCACCUCUGCAACGGUGGAGAGCACUUCACACUACCACUACACCAAGCGUUUCAGUGUUGUUUAAUGGUGAACAUCAUGAAGACAAUGCUGUACAAUGAACUGCACUGUUUCCCUCGCUCUUACCCGGAGCUUGCUGAUGAAGAAGCCAGCAUCCUCUAGGCUCAUGUUGCCCUCCUGUUUGAUGAUAUGCUGGACAGUCUUGAGAACAUCUCCGGCCAUUGUAACAUCCCCACACACAUAGAUGUGUCCUCCCUCCUCCUUCAGGCACUGGUACACCGUCUCUGACAGCUGCUCGCGCAGUGCAUCCUGUACAUAUUUCUGUCAGAGAGGCAGAGGAGGAAUGAUGUGUGCAUGAAGAAGUCAAGUGUGAAAAAACAGUAGGAAAGGAAACAAUGUGAAAAAACAGAGUCAGGAGACCACUAACAUAUAGGGGAAUAAAAUAAAAUGGGGUAGAAUUUGUAAACUGAAAGCAAGCUGAAAGAUUGUUGGUGUGUCCAGGUACU
This is a long non-coding RNA of Micropterus dolomieu (smallmouth bass), 1006 nucleotides long. RefSeq lists it as uncharacterized. The record is from RefSeq and is a predicted model, not a curated record. NCBI's taxonomy places the organism in Eukaryota, Metazoa, Chordata, Actinopteri, Centrarchiformes, Centrarchidae. The transcript has 5 exons.